CGCUCUAGAUUUCGGAUCUUCAUCAAUAAAGAUUGGUAUUAUUUCAUAUCUUUCUCUAUUACUUUAUUCUAAUUGCAUUAUGUCUUUAUUUAUUAUGUUCUUAGUUUGCUCUAGUUCUAUAUUUAAUAUAGUUAUGAUUGACAAUGAGUUUAUAUAUAAGUUUGCAAAGCGCUUAGCUCUUGACUCAAGGGAGCUAAGUGGUAGAUCAUAUGUGGGCGUGGUGCUUAGAUAUUAUUUACCUGGAAAUGUAUCCUAUUGGCCGGGUCGUGUGGUAGUUCGCGAUGUUGACAGCUUCGUUGAUUCUUAUAUAGUCCACCCUCCGUUCAUAGGACAGACAAAAUUUGUAUUGCGGAGUAAGUCUUGCUAUGUUCUGAUUUACUUGAGCAAUGUUCCUUAUACAUGAAUAAGGAGUCUUUUGUGCUAUAUAUGAUCUUGUAGAUAACUAGAGUAGAUUGUGGCUUAGUAGAUAGUAGAUACUCAGAAUCCAUUCUCUAGCUAAUCCGACGUCACCUUACAUUUAUAUGGAGUAGUCUAUUUCUAUUCGCUAUGUUAUUUACCCAUGAGCUUAUAUUUCAUUAUCUUUAUUAUUAUGGCUUACCCCCUGCUAAAGCUAGUGACUGUGUG
RNAcentral lists this long non-coding RNA (624 nucleotides) under Sorghum bicolor (sorghum). Its description in RNAcentral is "long non-coding RNA (SBIC_LNC004939)". The record is from RNAcentral. Lineage: Eukaryota; Viridiplantae; Streptophyta; Magnoliopsida; Poales; Poaceae.